This 253-nucleotide ribosomal RNA is filed under the name uncultured bacterium. RNAcentral describes it as "partial 16S ribosomal RNA". It matches the Rfam family "Bacterial small subunit ribosomal RNA", at positions 524 to 776 of the family's 1533-position model. The record is from RNAcentral.
UACGUAGGGUGCGAGCGUUAAUCGGAAUUACUGGGCGUAAAGCGUGCGCAGGCGGUUUUGUAAGCCAGAUGUGAAAUCCCCGGGCUUAACCUGGGAAUGGCAUUUGGGACUGCAGGGCUAGAGUGUGGCAGAGGAGACUGGAAUUCCUGGUGUAGCAGUGAAAUGCGUAGAUAUCAGGAGGAAUACCGAUGGCGAAGGCAGGUCUCUGGGCUAACACUGACGCUCAUGCACGAAAGCGUGGGGAGCAAACAGG